GAUGAAGAACGUAGCGAAAUGCGAUAAGUAAUGUGAAUUGCAGAAUUCAGUGAAUCAUCGAAUCUUGAACGCACAUUGCGCCCUCUGGUAUUCCGGGGGGCAUGCCUGUUCGAGCGUCAUUACAACCCUCAAGCUUUGCUUGGUAUUGGACAUUGCCAGUUUCUGGCAGGUCUUAAAAUCAGUGGCGGUGCCAUUUGGCUUCAAGCGUAGUAAUUCUUCUCGCUUUGGAGAUCCAGGUGGUUACUUGCCAAUAACCCCCAAUUUUUUCAGGUUGACCUCGGAUCAGGUAGGGAUACCCGCUGAACUUAAGCAUAUCAAUAAGCGGAGGA
Molecule: unclassified non-coding RNA, 329 nt
Filed under: soil metagenome
Description: partial contains 5.8S ribosomal RNA, internal transcribed spacer 2, and large subunit ribosomal RNA
Rfam family: 5.8S ribosomal RNA (bases 1-119)
Source: RNAcentral